Molecule: long non-coding RNA, 299 nt
Organism: Arabidopsis thaliana (thale cress)
Lineage: Eukaryota; Viridiplantae; Streptophyta; Magnoliopsida; Brassicales; Brassicaceae
Product: other RNA
Exons: 1
Source: RefSeq
UCAUCGCCUUAUUCACCGGCCUUUGUGGCUUCAAGAAAAACGCUCGGCCAUUGGGAACGAUUGAGACGAUGUAUCAGUCAUCUCCUCGGGAGACCAAAGAAAGAGAACAAACAAAUAAUGACUUGCAGAUCACGAAAAGUGAUGACUUGUGGAACAAGGAAAGCGAUGAUCGAGAUACUAAUGCAUUUAAUGACGAUAGUAAUGAAGCGGACUCUGAGCUUCCGUUGCCUCCAGGAAGAAAAGGAACAAUACGUGGAACAUAUUCGUGUAACAACAUGGUGUUAAGAAGAUCCUUGUCU